AAGAACGCACCUCAGGAAUGAAUUAAGUACUUAACCCGAGGUACCACUGCAUUCUAUUUUAAUAUUUUGUUGGAAGCCGCCCAGAGUGGCUGGGGAAACCCAGCCAGAUGGGUGGGGCAUAAAUAAUAAAUUAUUAUAAUUACAGUGGCACCUUGGGUUAAGUACUUAAUUCGUUCCGGAC
Molecule: non-coding RNA, 181 nt
Organism: Podarcis lilfordi (Lilford's wall lizard)
Lineage: Eukaryota; Metazoa; Chordata; Lepidosauria; Squamata; Lacertidae
Source: the annotation of a GenBank genome assembly